Molecule: ribosomal RNA, 425 nt
Filed under: uncultured bacterium
Lineage: Bacteria
Description: partial 16S ribosomal RNA
Rfam family: Bacterial small subunit ribosomal RNA
Source: RNAcentral
GUUAGGAAUAUUGGACAAUGGGCGCAAGCCUGAUCCAGCCAUGUCGCGUGAGUGAUGAAGGCCUUCGGGUUGUAAAGCUCUUUAGUCCACGAAUAUAAUGACUGUAGUGGAAGAAUAAGCCCCGGCUAACUUCGUGCCAGCAGCCGCGGUAAUACGAAGGGGGCGAGCGUUAUUCGGAAUCACUGGGCGUAAAGCGUGCGUAGGCUGUUUUGUAAGUCAGAAGUGAAAGCCCAGGGCUUAAGCCGGUAAUUGCUUUUGAAAGUACAAGACUCGAAUUCGGGAGAGGAUAGCGGAAUUGUCAGUGUAGCAGUGAAAUGCGUAGAUAUUGACAGGAACACCAGUGGCGAAAGCGGCUAUCUGGACCGAUAUUGACGCUGAGGCACGAAAGCGUGGGGAGCAAACAGGAUUAGAUACCCUGGUAGUCC